This is a non-coding RNA of Pantherophis guttatus, 497 nucleotides long. The record is from RefSeq and is a predicted model, not a curated record. Lineage: Eukaryota; Metazoa; Chordata; Lepidosauria; Squamata; Colubridae.
CGCAAAUCAGUACUGCGUGAGUAGUUUAGGGCGUGUGGGUGUGGCGUUGGAGUGGAAGGCAUCAGAUGAUCCUGAAAACUGCAUCCUUGUAUAUUAUUUUAUAGACAAGUUCCAGAAAAUUCUGAGCCCGAACGAAUCCUAGAUCUCCGUCCUCGUGGUUCUGCUAUUCCUGUUUGCAUUAUCCAAUGUAUCUUGCAGUUCAUCCGAAGACUCUUCUAAGCAAAGAAUUAGGGCAGAACCUUCCCAGUAUGGCUCUGCGCUUAAGUUUGUCGUGAGGAAACGCUCAAAUGCAAAACUGCUUUGAUCGUAUGUCAAGAACACAGGUGGCCAAAUGCAUUGCAGCGCCCUCACUACUGUUCAAGCAACCUCUUGAACAACAGAUGACUGGAGUUCUGUCAGAUGGAGACAUCCUGAAGGGGUUAAGGGCUUUGGGGGUAGAUAGAAUUCAAUCUGGUGCUGAUUUAGAAAAAAAUAAAUCCCUCCUUUCAUGGAAGUAA